GCGAACGCGAUGACAGUAGGCGCGGGAAGAAGGAUGGGGAAAGCGGGAAUCGGAAUAAUUGGGCGUAAAGCGCACGCAGGAGGGUAGAUAAGUCAGAUGUGAAAUCCCCGGGCUCAACCUGGGAACUUCAGUUGAAACUGUCUGACUAGAGUCUUGUAGAGGGGGGGAGAAUUCCAGGUGUAGCGGUGAAAUGCGUAGAGAUCGGGAGGAAGACCGGUGGCGAAGGCGGCCCCCUGGACAAAGACUGACGCUCAGGUGCGAAAGCGUGGGGAGCAAACAGGAUUAGAUACCCUAGUAGUC
RNAcentral lists this ribosomal RNA (300 nucleotides) under uncultured Lactobacillus sp. RNAcentral's name for it is "bacterial SSU rRNA". It matches the Rfam family "Bacterial small subunit ribosomal RNA", at positions 496 to 795 of the family's 1533-position model. The record is from RNAcentral. Lineage: Bacteria; Bacillati; Bacillota; Bacilli; Lactobacillales; Lactobacillaceae.